This 527-nucleotide ribosomal RNA is filed under the name uncultured bacterium. Its description in RNAcentral is "bacterial SSU rRNA". It matches the Rfam family "Bacterial small subunit ribosomal RNA", at positions 983 to 1509 of the family's 1533-position model. The record is from RNAcentral.
GACAUACUAAGAACUUUCCAGAGAUGGAUUGGUGCCUUCGGGAACUUAGAUACAGGUGCUGCAUGGCUGUCGUCAGCUCGUGUCGUGAGAGUGUUGGGUUAAGUCCCGNAACGAGCGCAACCCUUUUCCUAUUUGCCAGCGGGUCAUGCCGGGAACUUUAAGGAUACUGCCAGUGACAAACUGGAGGAAGGCGGGGACGACGUCAAGUCAUCAUGGCCCUUACGGCCAGGGCUACACACGUGCUACAAUGGUCGGUACAAAGGGUUGCUACCUCGCGAGAGGAUGCUAAUCUCAAAAAGCCGAUCGUAGUCCGGAUCGCAGUCUGCAACUCGACUGCGUGAAGUCGGAAUCGCUAGUAAUCGCGGAUCAGAAUGCCGCGGUGAAUACGUUCCCGGGCCUUGUACACACCGCCCGUCACACCAUGGGAGUUUGUUGCACCAGAAGUAGGUAGUCUAACCGCAAGGAGGACGCUUACCACGGUGUGGCCGAUGACUGGGGUGAAGUCGUAACAAGGUAAGCGUAGAUGA